Long non-coding RNA from Fukomys damarensis (Damara mole-rat), 4483 nucleotides. RefSeq lists it as uncharacterized. The transcript is spliced from 3 exons. The record is from RefSeq and is a predicted model, not a curated record. NCBI's taxonomy places the organism in Eukaryota, Metazoa, Chordata, Mammalia, Rodentia, Bathyergidae.
CCCGGCGCUCUCCUGGGGACAUAAUGCACUGUGGGAUUGCUGGUGGUGGAGAAGUUCACGGGGUGUGUGAACUUGCUCCUACAAGAUGUCUGUGCAAGAGCAGUGUGCGCCUCUCUGAGAGCUGAUAAGAGACCUCUCCACGGAGUUAGACCACGGCAGUGGAAAAUAGUGGGUGCUGCAUGCGGGGAGGGGAGGAUGCAGUGAGGGGUGGCCUUGGGGCACGCUGGGCCUGAGUGCGGACAGCACAGGACAGGGCCAGAGAUGUGGCCCUGCCAGACUGGCUGGGCCCUGGGGCUGUGGAAGGAACUUGGGGUUUUGUUUUGACAGCAGUAGAAACUGUACGAAGGCUUAAGUCCACACAAGGCAUAAAUUCGCUGGGGUUUUUAGCAGCCCUAAUAGCUGCAGAGACUGGAAAUAUGUGAAUCAGUGAGCCCCUUGGGAAGACAGGGGGAUAACUUGAAUGAGGGAGUUGCUGAUGAAGAUGCUAAGAAAAAAGGAUGGGGUUAGCAGAGGAGGGGUGGGAGAGGAAGCGGGAGCAGUACCUGCGGGGGAGAGGCUGCAGCAUGGAGCAGGGGAGGGGACCGUGGGCCAGGCACGAGAUUAUACCCAGCCACGAGGAGCCGUUGUGCCGUGCCAUUCAACAGCUGCCCUCACACAGCACGGUCCUUAUGUGUGCUUGGCCGUUUGUAACUGUGUUUUGCAUGCUUGCCCCACUUAAUCCGGGAAACUACCCUGUGAAGACGGUGCUAUUGCUUGCAACGAAUGCGUGGGUUGAGCACCUGCUCUGGGUAUCCAACCACUAAGAGGUGGAUCUGGGUUUUAUACCCUGAAUUCUGGUCCAGAGUGUAACCACCAAGCUAUCCCACCAUGGAAGCUUUUUGAGCAGGAGAAGGACGUGACCAGGGCUGUGACUGGAAAAUCGAUCUGGUGGCGGGGAGCAAGAAGGAUGAGACCGGGGAGAGAGGCUUGGAUGUGAGUAGUUCAAAUGGCUGCGGUGAGGUUGGGGGUCUGAGACACAGUGGGAGAAGAGGAAGGGGCAGGGAAGGGUGAUCUGCGGGGCACCUCGCAUAGAUGGGGUGUAAGACGUGUACCAGUUCUCUACUGCUGCCGUCACAAUCUACUUUACACACAGAGGAUUAAAAAACACCCACUUUGAAAUCUCCUACUUCUGUAGGUCAGUGGGCAGGCAUGACUGGUUUCUCUUAGACUCAAAGCUGAAAUCAAGACAUUAGCCAGCUCGGACUUGGGACACCUCACACCCAUUCCUGAGUUCUCUUUUCGUUUGUUACUAGAGAUUGAACCCAGCGCCUUCACACUGAGCUUCAUCCCCAGACGGGGUCUCACUAACUCCCUGAGUUGCCCGGGUUGAGUUUGAAGCUGCAAUCCUUCUGCCUCAGCCUCCCGGAGGGCUGGGGUUACCGGCACGGUCCACGAACCAGGGCCUCAUUUUUCUUGUCAGAAUUCAAUCCCCUGCUGUUGUAAGACUAAAGUCCCUGUUUCCUUGUGCGGUAUCACCUAGUCACACUCAGCCCCUAGAAACUACUCUCUGGCCCCUCUGUCUUCAAGGUCAAAAACAGUGGACCAUUCUCUUGCUUUGCGUACCUCCCACUUCCUCUUCUGCCAGCAGCCAGAGAAAAUUCUCCACCUUUACAUUUAUGUAUAUAUGUAUGUGUUUACUUAUUUUUGAGGCAAGGUCUCACUAUGUCAUUCAGGAUGGCCAUGAACUCACUGUGUUGUCCAGGCCGGCCGUAAACUUGGGGUUCUCUGCCUUUCAUGGGCCCCCGAGUCAUCUUGCUUUUGCCAUGUGACAAUCAUGGGGAUGAUAUGUAGCUGGGAUAAGGGGCCAUCUUAAUAUCUGUGCAACCAGUCUGUGUUCCUGGGUCUUGGGAGGCUGUGUGAGGAGGGACAUAGGAAGAGGUGGUGUGGGCAGGGGGCCUGAGAUUUGGGAACUGAGUCACUGGGAACAGAGUGGCUGCAGGACCUGUGCUCAGGACAGUGGGUAAUGAGUGAGGUGGGCCUUGCAGUGGACACGUAAAGCAGUCAGCAAGGGGCACUUCCUCUCAGCACAGUGAUGAUGUGACACUGACUUUCACCUUUGUAUCAAGACUUACCACACAGAGAGAGAGAGCACUAAUGCUGACGUCUGUGCCUCUGCCACACAGACGAGGGUUUCCAGCCUCCCUACUCCAGAUUCCCUGUGCUCUGUCUGUGUCAUUAUUUCCUCAUCAACGACCACUAUUCUGACCUUGAUUGCCACAGACCACUUUGCUGGUGCGUGGACUUCAUCUAGACAGUCAUAUAGUAUGUCAGUGCGAGUCUCAUCAACUCACUGGUGAUGGGUGGGGCUAUAGCUCAGCGGUAAAGCAGGUGCUUGGCAUGCACAAGGCCUGGGUUCAGUCUGCAGCACCCAAGAAAGAAAUUUAUGGGGUGCUCGCUGUGUUCCAGAUACCCUGCCAGACUCUGGGGUGCAGCCGUGAUGAGACAGACAACUCGUCCCAGCCUCGUGAACCUAAGCUCACCCCAGAAGUAGAGUUUUACUGUUGGAGGCUGCCAGAUAACCUAGGUUAGAGCGUGGGCAAAGAAGAAAGAAGGCAGAAGCUAGGCAUGGUGGUGCACACCGGCAACGCCAGGUACAUAAGAGGCUGAAGCAGGAAGACUAAGUCCGAGCCCCUCCUGGGUGACUUCAUGAGACCCUGUCUUAAAAUAAAAAUUUAAAAAGGGGAUGGGGAUGUAGCUCAGUGAUAGCAUACUUGCCUAGCACUUGCAAGGUCUUGGGUUUGAUGCCCAGUACUGCAAACCAACCAACAACAACAACACAAAGAGGGUAGAGAUGGAACAGUGGGAAAGGUGAAGGGUGGGGAAGUCGGAGCCUGAAAGAAUCGAAGGGCAGAGUGUCGCGGAGGCCAAAGAAAGGGUUCUUCAGCAGGGAGGGCGUGAGCAGCGGUGUUGCAUCCGCUGAGCGGUUAAUUAACACAUGUGUAUGGGGUGCCGCUCGGUGCAAGGUGGAGAGGAGUACAGAGCCCUGCAAAACUCCCCUAAUGAUGACCUCUGCCGCGCCCAGAGACAUAAGGGAAGGCCCAGCGGGGCACCAGGACGUUCAGAUGCCGUCAUGAUACUGCCCAGCUUGCAUCCUCUGUGCUUUCUGUGCCAUGGAGGCUAAGGUUAGAGCCCAGGGUUCAACUCCCGGGGACAUCCGCGACCUCCCGCUUUUACCCUGCCCUGUCACUCUGACCGCAGGCGCCCUGGCCUUUUCCUGACCUUGUCCCACUCCUUCCUACUUCAGGGCCCCUGAACACAUAAUUUCCUCUGCCUAAAAGACUUUUAUCCCCCUCUUAGAAAGACCUAGUUAACUCUACUUGCUGUUAUUCACCUCUCAUAGCAAAGCUCAUCUCUUUAAGUUGCCUUUCUGAGGGCUGGGGAUGUAGCUCAGGGGUUCCGCCACCUGCCUCGUACGUGCAAGGUUCUGAGUUUGAUCCCUGGUGCCAAAAAAUAAAGAAGCCUUGCUGACUUUCCUGCUUAAAAGAGCUCCCUGUCUUACACUCCCACGGCUUGCUCUGUAGAACUUCCUUUCCUGGGGAGGGGGAAGGGAAAUAAAAGGAGCACAACCAUUGUGUACUGCAGUCAUGUGCUAAUAAAAAUAAAAUUCAAAAAACAACUUUCCUAACACAUCUUUGGUGAGUAGUUGUGCAGCUCUAUGACCACUGCAUGUGUGUUUACUACUCUGAAGCGUUCGUGACCCCAGUGAGAGAGGGACCCGCCUGUCAGUGAUUCCUGAGCACUCCUUAGAGAGGCCUGUGUGGAUGAGCUUCUGACUGUGGAUCCAGGAGCUAUAUGACCUUGGGGAUGGGCUGGGCUCAGCUGGGCAAUUCUUCUGCACUUUGAGAUGCUGGCUGCGUUCACACGUGCAUCUGUGCUUAUCUGGAAAUGGAACUAAGCGUGGGGUAGCGACACGUGGCCCCUCUAACCCUCGAUGCUGCUUCUGGCUGGAGAGCUCUGGUCCCCUCACCCCUGUCUGGGCUUCUCUGCAGCGGAGUGGAGUCCAGCCUCUUCACAUGGGAGCAGCUUCCCAACCAGUCCCUUUUCCAGGAGAAACUUGGUUUGUUUACCUCGGCUGCUGAUUUCCUUAGUGGAGAUAAACAGCAGGACAUGUGGUCCUCUGUUCCGUUAAAGAGAACAUGAAAUACUCAGCCAUGAAAUGAGCACGCCAUCUCUUACCGCCAUCUGAACGAGCUGGUCCAGGUAGGGGACGGAGCUCUUUCUGACAGUGAAGUGCACAGCGCCUCGAUGCCGCUGGGAAGUCGGGAAUCCGCAGGAUAACAUUUUCCCAGGAUUCUCUGCAGUAUAGAACGACUUUAACUCAUCUCAGCUGACUCUCACAACAACCCUAAGAGAGCUGGGCGCAGUGGCAUUCACCUGGGACCCCAGUACUUGUGAGACUGGGGAAGGAGGAUCGCUGUGAGUUCAAGGCCAGGCUGGAUUAUAU